Pistacia vera is the source of this 586-nucleotide long non-coding RNA. RefSeq lists it as uncharacterized. The transcript is spliced from 3 exons. The record is from RefSeq and is a predicted model, not a curated record. Lineage: Eukaryota; Viridiplantae; Streptophyta; Magnoliopsida; Sapindales; Anacardiaceae.
AGUUUCCUCUCCACACUCCACUUACAACUUUCUUACCAAAUUUUCCUUUUCGGGUAUUGCUUCCCAACCUCAGGUACCCAAAGAGCAUCCGAGUGAAGAUAUCUGCAAUUUGUUCUAUUCUAGUUCAAAAAGAAGCUGAAUUGAAGCUCAUGAUUAAAGCAAAAGAUGAGGUAUAUAUGCUUAACUUGACUAGUGGGGUUGUAAUAUGGGCAAGAAAGGAAUCAUAAUCACUCACUUGUAACUUUCAGUUAAGUGUUUAACAAGCUUUCAUCAUAAAUCGUUGGAUUAGCAUUUUACAAAUAGGCAACAAAGCACAUGAUAAAGCAAAAGAUCAGGUAUAUGUGCUUAGCUUGAUAAGUGGGAUUGUAACAUGCAGAGGAAACGAAUCACAUUAUCAAGGCCAUGUAUAUAAUAUACACAUUCUAAGGGAAGUGGAAGAGAAAACACAUUAUCAAUAAACAAAGAGAGAUGGGAGAGAUUCACCAUAAGUAACUCAUCCCUGCAGCUGUGAGCUGUGGAUAAAUUAGAAUAUGGGUUUGGAGAUGAGUAGUACUGCCGCCAGUAAAGAUGAGGACCAGAGCAAAGA